This 465-nucleotide ribosomal RNA is filed under the name Vreelandella stevensii. RNAcentral describes it as "partial 16S ribosomal RNA". It matches the Rfam family "Bacterial small subunit ribosomal RNA", at positions 338 to 795 of the family's 1533-position model. Lineage: Bacteria; Pseudomonadati; Pseudomonadota; Gammaproteobacteria; Oceanospirillales; Halomonadaceae. The record is from RNAcentral.
CCUACGGGGUGCUGCAGUGGGGAAUAUUGGACAAUGGGCGAAAGCCUGAUCCAGCCAUGCCGCGUGUGUGAAGAAGGCCUUCGGGUUGUAAAGCACUUUCAGUGGGGAAGAAAGCCUUGGGGCUAAUACCCUCGAGGAAGGACAUCACCCACAGAAGAAGCACCGGCUAACUCCGUGCCAGCAGCCGCGGUAAUACGGAGGGUGCGAGCGUUAAUCGGAAUUACUGGGCGUAAAGCGCGCGUAGGCGGUCUGAUAAGCCGGUUGUGAAAGCCCCGGGCUCAACCUGGGAACGGCAUCCGGAACUGGCAGGCUAGAGUGCAGGAGAGGAAGGUAGAAUUCCCGGUGUAGCGGUGAAAUGCGUAGAGAUCGGGAGGAAUACCAGUGGCGAAGGCGGCCUUCUGGACUGACACUGACGCUGAGGUGCGAAAGCGUGGGUAGCAAACAGGAUUAGAUACCCCGGUAGUC